GUUAGCUCGCAUUCGCCGACUCGCCGGCGUGAGUUACAGAGGAGCAGCCACACCACAGAUCCCCGCUCACGGCCACUACGUGCACCAUCCGCCGUCGCGUCGCGAGCUCCGCUUGGCCGCGCACUGCGGUAGUCACACGUGAGCUCUGCCGACACCCAGUGCGUACGGUCGACCUGCGAGCCACCUGCACCGCGUUGAACCUCUCCAUGGCCUCGUGCUCGCUACCGCAGUGUCGCGCGUGGCCAGCGUUGGCUGUCGCCAUGGCUGCGGAGCGGGGCAAGAUCCACAGAGCUGCGCAUGGGGUGAGCAUAUCGGCCCCAUGUUGCUAAAUUCUGGCCGGCUAUAGUUUGGGUUGAGCGGCGGAGAUGGCAAAUUUCAACACCGCAGGUGGCUCAGCAAUGACAUGUGAAGAAGGAUAUGUGGGAGCUUUUGGAUGGUGAUUGACAAAGGCACCAACAAGGAAGAUCAGAGAGUUGCAUUUCCUUAGUAGCAGUUCUAACUGUCUCUUCUAUACCUUGUAGACCAUAAUGAAAUAAUUAGGACGCUACGGAACUGGAGUUCUACCACUAUAUGUAUCUUUACUGUCUGCGACCAAGAUGUGUGUUUUCUCCCGUUUGUAUAUUUAUUUGUAUCGUGUGAUCCACUUGCGUA
Long non-coding RNA from Triticum aestivum (bread wheat), 651 nucleotides. RefSeq lists it as uncharacterized. The transcript has 2 exons. NCBI's taxonomy places the organism in Eukaryota, Viridiplantae, Streptophyta, Magnoliopsida, Poales, Poaceae. The record is from RefSeq and is a predicted model, not a curated record.